This 497-nucleotide ribosomal RNA is filed under the name uncultured bacterium. RNAcentral describes it as "partial 16S ribosomal RNA". It matches the Rfam family "Bacterial small subunit ribosomal RNA", at positions 28 to 507 of the family's 1533-position model. The record is from RNAcentral.
GACGAACGCUGGCGGCGUGCCUAAUACAUGCAAGUUGAGCGCUGAAGGUUGGUACUUGUACCAACUGGAUGAGCAGCGAACGGGUGAGUAACGCGUGGGGAAUCUGCCUUUGAGCGGGGGACAACAUUUGGAAACGAAUGCUAAUACCGCAUAAAAACUUUAAACACAAGUUUUAAGUUUGAAAGAUGCAAUUGCAUCACUCAAAGAUGAUCCCGCGUUGUAUUAGCUAGUUGGUGAGGUAAAGGCUCACCAAGGCGAUGAUACAUAGCCGACCUCAGAGGGUGCUCGGCCACAUUGGGACUGCGACACGGCCCAAACGCCUAAGGGAGGCAGCGGUAGGGGAUCUUCCGCCAGGGACGAAAGUCUGACCGAGCAACGCCGCGUGAGUGCAGAAGGUUUUCGGAUCGUAAAACUCUGUUGGUAGAGAAGAACGUUGGUGAGAGUGGAAAGCUCAUCAAGUGACGGUAACUACCCAGAAAGGGACGGCUAACUCCGUG